RNAcentral lists this ribosomal RNA (442 nucleotides) under uncultured bacterium. Its description in RNAcentral is "partial 16S ribosomal RNA". It matches the Rfam family "Bacterial small subunit ribosomal RNA", at positions 338 to 795 of the family's 1533-position model. The record is from RNAcentral.
CCUACGGGUGGCAGCAGUGGGGAAUAUUGGGCAAUGGGCGAAAGCCUGACCCAGCAACGCCGCGUGAAGGAAGAAGGCUUUCGGGUUGUAAACUUCUUUUGACAGGGAAGAGCAGAAGACGGUACCUGUCGAAUAAGCCACGGCUAACUACGUGCCAGCAGCCGCGGUAAUACGUAGGUGGCAGGCGUUGUCCGGAUUUACUGGGUGUAAAGGGCGUGUAGCCGGGCUGAAAAGGCAGUUGUGAAAUGCGGGGGCUCAACCCCCGAACUGCAUUUGAAACUGUUGGUCUUGAGUAUCGGAGAGGCAGGCGGAAUUCCUGGUGUAGCGGUGAAAUGCGUAGAUAUUAGGAAGAACACCAGUGGCGAAGGCAGCCUGCUGGACGACAACUGACGGUGAGGCGCGAAAGCGUGGGGAGCAAACAGGAUUAGAUACCCGGGUAGUC